Molecule: ribosomal RNA, 762 nt
Filed under: uncultured Russula
Lineage: Eukaryota; Fungi; Basidiomycota; Agaricomycetes; Russulales; Russulaceae
Description: partial 28S ribosomal RNA
Rfam family: Eukaryotic large subunit ribosomal RNA
Source: RNAcentral
GAAUCCCGUCUUUGGCAUGGAUGACCGGGGCUUUUGUGAUGCGCUCUCGAAGAGUCGAGUUGUUUGGGAAUGCAGCUCAAAAUGGGUGGUGAACUCCAUCUAAAGCUAAAUAUUGGCGAGAGACCGAUAGCGAACAAGUACCGUGAGGGAAAGAUGAAAAGCACUUUGGAAAGAGAGUGAAACAGUACGUGAAAUUGUUGAAAGGGAAACGCUUGAAGUCAGUCGCGUCGGCCGAGACUCAGCCUUGCCUCGGCUUGGUGUACUUCUUGACCGACGGGUCAGCAUCAAUUUUGCCCCUUGGAUAAUGGCGAGGGAAAUGUGACACCUUUAUAGGUGUGUUAUAGUCUCUCGUCGCAUGCAAGGGUCGGGAUUGAGGAACUCAGCACGCGCCUUCGGGCGUCGGGGCCUUGCCCACGAUACGUGCUUAGGAUGUUGGCGUAAUGGCUUUAAACGACCCGUCUUGAAACACGGACCAAGGAGUCUAACAUGCCCGCGAGUGUUCGGGUGGAAAACCCGUGCGCGCAAUGAAAGUGAAAGUUGAGAACUCUUAGAGUGCAUCGACGCCCGGAGCAGACCUUUUGUGACGCAUCCGCGGUAGAGCAUGUAUGUUGGGACCCGAAAGAUGGUGAACUAUGCCUGAAUAGGGUGAAGCCAGAGGAAACUCUGGUGGAGGCUCGUAGCGAUUCUGACGUGCAAAUCGAUCGUCAAAUUUGGGUAUAGGGGCGAAAGACUAAUCGAACCAUCUAGUAGCUGGUUCCUGCC